Molecule: non-coding RNA, 21 nt
Filed under: Arabidopsis thaliana (thale cress)
Lineage: Eukaryota; Viridiplantae; Streptophyta; Magnoliopsida; Brassicales; Brassicaceae
Source: RNAcentral
GGACGUGCUCUUAAUGUUCGG